RNAcentral lists this ribosomal RNA (1561 nucleotides) under uncultured Vexilliferidae. RNAcentral describes it as "partial Bacterial large subunit ribosomal RNA". It matches the Rfam family "Bacterial large subunit ribosomal RNA", at positions 334 to 1959 of the family's 2925-position model. The record is from RNAcentral. Lineage: Eukaryota; Discosea; Flabellinia; Dactylopodida; Vexilliferidae.
GGAACCUUCUGGAAAGUUGGACGAUACAGGGUGAUAGUCCCGUACACGAAAAUGCAUCUUAAGUGAAAUCGAGUAGGUCGGAGCACGUGAAACUUUGACUGAAUAUAGGUGGACCAUCAUCUAAGGCUAAAUACUCCCAACUGACCGAUAGUGAACCAGUACCGUGAGGGAAAGGCGAAAAGAACCCCUGUGAGGGGAGUGAAAUAGAACCUGAAACCGUAUACGUACAAGCAGUGGGAGCCCUUCGGGGUGACUGCGUACCUUUUGUAUAAUGGGUCAGCGACUUAUAUUUAGUAGCAAGGUUAAGUGAAUAACGGAGCCGUAGCGAAAGCGAGUCUUAAUAGGGCGCCAUAGUCAGUAGUAGUAGACGCGAAACCGUGCGAUCUACCCAUGGGCAGGUUGAAGCUGUGGUAACACAUAGUGGAGGACCGAACCCGUUGACGUUGAAAAGUCUUGGGAUGACCUGUGGGUAGGGGUGAAAGGCCAAUCAAGCUCGGAAAUAGCUCGUACUCCCCGAAAUGCAUUUAGGUGCAGCGUGUAGAUAGUUUUAUAGAGGUAGAGCUACUGAUUGGAUGCGGGGGCUUCACCGCCUACCAAUUCCUGACAAACUCCGAAUGCUAUAAAAUGUUUCUGCGCAGUGAGGGCAUGGGUGCUAAGGUCCAUGUCCGAGAGGGAAAGAACCCAGAUCACCGGCUAAGGUCCCAAAGUAUAUGCUAAGUUGAUAUAACGCGGUGGAACUGCAUUGACAGCCAGGAUGUUGGCUUGGAAGCAGCCAUUCAUUUAAAGAGUGCGUAACAGCUCACUGGUCGAGCGGUUCCGCAUGGAUAAUAAUCGGGCAUAAGCAUAUCACCGAAGCCGUGACUUUGUAUUAAUACAAGGGGUAGGGGAGCAUUGUAACUGCGUCGAAGGCGUACCUGCGAGGGAUGCUGGAGCGGUUACAAACGAAAAUGUAGGCAUAAGUAACGAUAAUGCGGGCGAGAAACCCGCACGCCGAAAGACCAAGGUUUCCCCAGCUAUGCUAAUCAGCUGGGGGUCAGUCGGGACCUAACGCGAACCCGAAGGGGAUAGUGGAUGGACAACAGAUUAAUAUUUCUGUACCUGCUCACGCUAAAAGUGACGGAGGCGAGAAGUUGGUGCGUACAGACGGAAUUGUACGUUGAAGGGAGUAGUAAUACCCCGAUAGUACACCGAGGCCACGGCCAAGGUGAUAAUCCAGCAUAUCGACUUCCAAGAAAAGCGAGUGAAGCAGCCCGUACCGUAAACCGACACAGGUGGUUGGGAUGAGUAUUCUAAGGCGCUCGAGAGAUUCAUGGCUAAGGAACUAGGCAAAAUAGACCCGUAACUUCGGGAGAAGGGUCGCCCCCUUAUGGGGGGCCGCAGUGAAGAGGUCCAGGCGACUGUUUAUCAAAAACACAGGGCUCUGCAAAAUCGAAAGAUGACGUAUAGGGCCUGACACCUGCCCGGUGCUGGAAGGUUAAGAGGAGAUGUCAUUCCUUCGGGGAGAAGCAUUGAAUUGAAGCCCCAGUAAACGGCGGCCGUAACAAUAACGGUCCUAAGGUAG